CGUACCAGCACCCUCUUCUUCAUUUUCAAUCUCAUUUCAUCCAUGUAAACAAUUUCAAUUUAAGGGAAAUUAUAUAGGAGAAGAAGAGAAAUGUUGCCAGCAAUAUUGAUCAAUUUAUGGAUUCUUUGAAGACCCAAAACGUUGGCAGCAAUUUGGGAAUUAAUUUGGAGGAAUCAAUCUUGUUAAGGUUGAGACACUUCGAGCAGCGUAUACGUGUCGUAUCACGAAUAAGCGCUAAAGGUACAGAUACUCGAUUUGGUGAUCCACCAGCUUAGAGUCCCCUUUCUGCUGUCUUGGAAAGCUCCGUCGUUCCGGAGCCUAGAUUUUGGUACAUACUUCCUGAUAUGCACAUAUAUGUUUUGUCCAUAGGUACGACGGGGCCCUGUCCCGUCAUAUGUUACUGUUGAUACUCCUAGAGGUCUGUAGACAUGUAUGUGGGUUGUGUUCAGAUGUGGUCGGUUGUGCCUAUAUGGUUAUUAUGGAUGGUCUAGCGCUGUAGCAGCCUUGCCGGCUUGCAUAUAUUAUCGUUUUGUUGAAGCAGCCUCGUCGGCUCGCGUAUGUUAUUACGUUGUGAUUGAUUGAGGAUCUAUAAUAUUAGUCCGAUUAUGUAUGA
Long non-coding RNA from Lycium barbarum (goji berry), 613 nucleotides. RefSeq lists it as uncharacterized. The transcript has 3 exons. The record is from RefSeq and is a predicted model, not a curated record. NCBI's taxonomy places the organism in Eukaryota, Viridiplantae, Streptophyta, Magnoliopsida, Solanales, Solanaceae.